Helianthus annuus (common sunflower) is the source of this 229-nucleotide long non-coding RNA. RefSeq lists it as uncharacterized. The transcript has 2 exons. Lineage: Eukaryota; Viridiplantae; Streptophyta; Magnoliopsida; Asterales; Asteraceae. The record is from RefSeq and is a predicted model, not a curated record.
GGCAAGGCUAGGAUUACUAAGGGGAUUGUUAAUGGGAUACAUGAGAGGUGGGGGAGGACUGAGCUUGUGAAGAUUGUUUGUGAGGAUUUGUGUAGGUUGAAUAUGAAGAGGACUCAUGAUUUGCUUGAGAGAAAAACCGGGGGUCUGGUUAUUUGGAGAGCUGGAAGUAUCAUAAUAUUGUACAGAGGAGCUGAUUACAAGUAUCCUUAUUUCUUUAUUAAUAAAAAAA